Non-coding RNA from Taeniopygia guttata (zebra finch), 267 nucleotides. Lineage: Eukaryota; Metazoa; Chordata; Aves; Passeriformes; Estrildidae. The record is from RefSeq and is a predicted model, not a curated record.
GCCACACCCACCCAGCCACGCCCAACGCACCUGGGACAGGCCACACCCAGCCCUAAAAGGUGCCUCAGGUGUGUCAAGGGCCCUUCCCCAACUCCCAGAGGUGUCCCAGGUGUGCCGAGCAGGUGGGGACAGGUGGGGACAGGUGAGGCACUGACAGGUGGGGACAGGUGGGGACAGGUGAGGCACUCACAGGUGAGACGUCGUCAUAGUCUUGGCGUUGCGGGACUGGGUGACGUGGCACGCCUUGCGCAGCAGCGACUCCAGGAA